AAGUCGUAACAAGGUUUCCGUAGGUGAACCUGCGGAAGGUUACAUUAACACGUAUCCAACGUUAAACAACCCUGUGAACUUUUCGAGCCCAUGAAAUCAUUGCCAAACAGUUUUGAUUCGAGACCUCUGUCCAAAGGAGUUGCAAUCGAAGGGUGGAAGCAGUGGCAUGGCUUAAGCAGUUAGUGAAUGACAGUGUCACUGACUGUGUAAGGAUAACGCCUCACGGUUGCUAGAGGUCGAUCACCGACCGGCAGACAUGUCACAGGGUCACUUGAAAAUGGCCCCGCCUAGUGGUAUCUUGGUUCUC
Molecule: unclassified non-coding RNA, 307 nt
Filed under: fungal sp.
Lineage: Eukaryota; Fungi
Description: partial internal transcribed spacer region
Source: RNAcentral